CUGGGGAGACUGCCGGUGAUAAACCGGAGGAAGGCGGGGAUGACGUCAAGUCCUCAUGGCCCUUACAUCCCGGGCUACACACGUGCUACAAUGGCAGGUACAGAGGGCUGCGAAGCCGCGAGGUGGAGCGAAUCCCAGAAAACCUGUCUCAGUCCGGAUUGAAGUCUGCAACUCGACUUCAUGAAGGCGGAAUCGCUAGUAACCGCGAAUCAGCAGGUCGCGGUGAAUACGUUCCCGGGCCUU
Molecule: ribosomal RNA, 243 nt
Filed under: uncultured Latescibacterota bacterium
Lineage: Bacteria; Pseudomonadati; Candidatus Latescibacterota
Description: uncultured Latescibacteria bacterium partial 16S ribosomal RNA
Rfam family: Bacterial small subunit ribosomal RNA
Source: RNAcentral